RNAcentral lists this ribosomal RNA (491 nucleotides) under uncultured bacterium. RNAcentral describes it as "partial 16S ribosomal RNA". It matches the Rfam family "Bacterial small subunit ribosomal RNA", at positions 29 to 506 of the family's 1533-position model. The record is from RNAcentral.
AGUGAACGCUGGCGGUAUGCCUAACACAUGCAAGUCGAACGGCAGCACAGUAAGAGCUUGCUCUUACGGGUGGCGAGUGGCGGACGGGUGAGGAAUACAUCGGAAUCUACUUUUUCGUGGGGGAUAACGUAGGUCAACUUACGCUAAUACCUCAUACGACCUACUGUUGAAAGCAGUGGAUCUUCGUACCUUGCGCGAUUGAAUUAGCCGAUUUCGUGUUAGCUAGUUUGCGGGGUAAAGGCCCACCAAGGCGACGCUCCGUAGCUGGUCUGAGAGGAUGAUCAGCCAAACUGAAACUGAGAAACGGUACAGAGGCCUACGGAAGGCAGCAGUGGGGAAUAUUGGAAAAUGGGCGCAAGCCUGAGGCAGACAGACGGCGUGGGUGAAGAAGGCCUUCGGGUGGUAAAGCCCUUUUGUUGGGAAAGAAAAGCAGCAGGUUAAUACCGCGCUGUUCGAAGGGAACCCAAAGAAUAAGCACGGGCUAAUUUGGG